This 67-nucleotide transfer RNA is filed under the name Alaria americana. RNAcentral's name for it is "tRNA-Ser". Lineage: Eukaryota; Metazoa; Platyhelminthes; Trematoda; Diplostomida; Diplostomidae. The record is from RNAcentral.
GCGAGUUUGGUUCGUCCGUGAUUGAUUUGAAAUCAUUCUUUGUUAUGUUUAAGUCAUAAAUCUCGUU